This 102-nucleotide signal recognition particle RNA is filed under the name Alicycliphilus denitrificans BC. Its description in RNAcentral is "SRP RNA; RNA component of signal recognition particle". It matches the Rfam family "Bacterial small signal recognition particle RNA". From Rfam's summary of the family: The signal recognition particle (SRP) is a universally conserved ribonucleoprotein involved in the co-translational targeting of proteins to membranes. Archaeal SRP consists of a 7S RNA and homologues of the eukaryotic SRP19 and SRP54 proteins. In most bacteria, the SRP consists of a 4.5S RNA and the Ffh protein (a homologue of the eukaryotic SRP54 protein). Lineage: Bacteria; Pseudomonadati; Pseudomonadota; Betaproteobacteria; Burkholderiales; Comamonadaceae. RNAcentral also lists the same sequence under 1 other name. The record is from RNAcentral.
GACGGGCCUCCCCGCAUGGUGAAGCGGCCAACCGGGUCAGGUGGGGAACCAAGCAGCCCUAACUGUGGAGCCAGUGCCGGGGGUAAGGCUCGUCACCCUCCC